Molecule: long non-coding RNA, 6156 nt
Organism: Ictalurus punctatus (channel catfish)
Lineage: Eukaryota; Metazoa; Chordata; Actinopteri; Siluriformes; Ictaluridae
Exons: 2
Source: RefSeq, a predicted model, not a curated record
CAACAUUUAAAAUUUCAACAUGGUUUAUAUCCUAUAAAAGUUACAUUUAAAAUGUGGAGAGCCAGGUCGCCUGUUAUCAUUUUGUACUUAUAGUGGCUUCCGAAAACACCUCAGCAAGGUACAUAGUCACACUAUGGAUCAGGAGAUUGAUACUAAUCAGGAUCUUUCCACUCAGGGAGAAUAUGAGGCGGAAUGUUCAAAUGAUCGCCCAAGUUUACAAAGUUGGAGUUUACAAAGACAUUAAUGAUGGGUCGUGUUUCCAAAACCAUGCACUGUUCCCUCCCUAUGGAGUUCGUCUAGUUUGGGCAGAAAUUAUAAGGCUUGUAAUGUUCCUUUGGUGAAGGCUUAACUUUCAAAACUCACUUCUGCGUUGGCCGGUAAUUGAACCCAGGGUCUCCCGUGUGGCAGGCAAGAAUUCUACCACUGAACCACCAAUGCUUAGUUUAAAUAACUAAAGACAGAGUAAGCUGUUCAGGUAAGUAUUGUGCUGCUUCAGCAAUUUGGUUUCAGAUUUGAAAAGGAGAAUCCUAAGUCUCUUCCUUAUUUCAGCAGCAGUCACACACUAUAUUUCCAGAUACUGUAUAAUAUUAUAAUAUCUCCUCUCUGCUCAACACGCAUGUAAUACAGUCUACAUACCGUAGAGAAGUGUUUUUCAACCACUGUGCCGUGGCACACUAGUGUGUCGCGAGAGAUCGUCAGGCGUGCCGUGAGAAAUUGUCCAAUUUCACUUAGUCUUAAAAUUCUUAUUUAUUAAUUAUUAUCUGCAAAUAAUAAGCCAUGGUUGAGUGUCUGUGCUGUAAUAUAGUGACUGGCAGAGUAAUAUAAUAUUCGUCUAGGUGGCAGUAGGUAAUUGCCUCCUACCUUCUUAGAGACAAGAGAAUUAGUGACGCAUGCGACAGGUGGUGGUGGCACUGAUGGAGAAGUUUUUAAAAAGGAAAAAUGCAAACUCCGAACUGGGCCCUGGACAAGACUGUGACCCAGGUGAAGGGCCUAGUAUGAGUGGUGGUAAAAAGAAAGCAAAGAUGGUGAGCUCGAGGCAAUACAGCGAAAGCUAUCUUUCGUUAAUAUUUACUUUCACCAGCGAUGAGAUGACCCCGACUCCAUUAUGCUUGGUGUGUGGCGAGAAGCUGUCCAAUAGCGCCAUGGUGCCAAGCAAGCUUAAACGCUAUCUCCAAGUGAAACACCCGUCGCUUCAAAACAAGCCGAUGGACUAUUUUGUUUGCCUGCGUGAAAACACCGAAACAGGCAACAUUAAUGAGAAAAACCACAAAGGUAAAUUAGAAAGCCCUCAAAGCUAGUUGCUGAACUUGUAGCUAAAUGAAAAAAGUCCCACACUGUGGCAGAGACGUUAAUACUACCUGCCCGCAAAGACACUGUCAACGAGAUGCUCGGCCCUGACGCGGUUAAAGACAUAUCUAAACUCCCGCUCUCAGAUAACACAAUCGCCAGACGUACUGAUGACAUGUCUACAGACAUCGAAAGCCAUGUUUUGGAAAAGAUAUGCAUCAGUAGUAAAUUUGUGUUGCAACUUGAUGAGUCUACGGAUAUUCUCAGCUCUUGGCCAAUGUGCGUUUUGUGGAUGGAGAUGCCAUUAGAGAAAACUUCCUAUUUUGUAAGGCACUGCCAGAAAAAACAACAGGAGAGGAAAUUUUUUGGGUCAAAUUGGAAUAUCUUGACCAGGGAGGACUUACGUGGGAAAAUUGCACAAGUGUUUGCACUGAUGGAGCUGCAGCCAUGGUCGGGCACACCUAAGCAGAGUGAAGGAAAGAAACACAGAUCUUAUUGUUACACACUGUUUUCUGCACCGUGAGGCCUUAGUUGCAAAGACUAUACCAGCAGAACUAGUUCCUGUGGUGGAUGAUGUUGUGCGCAUAGGGAACUUUGUAAAGACACGACCAUUGAAAAGGUAUAUUUGCAUCUUUGCGUGAGGAAAUGUGAGCGGAGCAUAAAGCCUUAUUGCUCCAUACGGAGGUCCGAUGGUUGUAGCGUGACAAGUUGCUGGCCCGUGUGUAUGAGCUGCGGGAGGAACUUAAAGUGUUUCUGACAAAUGAGAGGUCUGAUUACUCAAAUCUGUUUGCAAGUGAUGAGUGGUGUGCAAAGCUGGCAUACCUGGCAGAUAUAUUUCAUCAUCUGAAUGAACCGAACACACGAUUGCAAGGCCGAAAUGAGAACCUGCUUACAACCAUGGAUAAAAUAAAUGGAUUCCAUUUAAAGGUGCACCUCUGGCAACAACAUGUGCAAAGUGCCAACCUUGAGAUGUUCCCACUCACAGAGGAACGGCAAGAUCACCCUGCUGCACUGUGCGAGGUAAUAGGUAAACAUCUGAAAACUCUUGAGGAGAAGUUGUCAUUUUAUUUCUCUUCAGCCUCCACUGAAUGCCUUGACUGCUGUUGGAAAGGACAUGACUUUACAGGAGCAGGAGGAACUAACUGAACUGAAACAAGAUCGUGGUUUAAAGCUAAGAUUUGCUGAACUUCCUUUGGACAGUUUUUGGUUGACUGCUACCAAGGAAUUCCCCAUUGCGGCCAACAAAGUUUUGACAUUGCUCCCAUUUUCCACAACAUAUGUGUGUGAGCUGAGCUUUUCAAGCCUAACUGCUAUAAAAACUAAAAACAGAGAGAGACUGAAAGCUGUUGAAGAGCUUCGUGUAUGCCUUUCUUCAAUUCCUGCCAGGAUAUCGGCUUUGUGUUCAUCUAAACAGGCCAGGUUUCACACUGAUUUUGGAGCAACAACAACAGCAACAACAGCAACAACAACAACAACAAAAAAGUGUUGGAACAAAAUAAAUCUUAUUUUCCAUUCCAGGUUGCAGGUAUUCGCGGGUGCAAUGCAACACUGUUCCACACACAAAUAACUCUUUUGAAUGGUUAAAUGACUAAAAUCAGAAAGCGCCACCAGCAUAUCUGACAAAGAUGACUCAUGAACCAAUUCUUUAAUCACUAGCUGAAAACGACGUAUUGAAUUUACAAAAACGUCAAAUAACAAAUACAACAUUCUACUUUCUCAUGAAUAUGGUAUAGUGCAUUGCUUAAUCAGCAGUUUUUCUUAGAAAGACAACAUAUUUAAAUUGAAUUAAUUUAAUGAAACCACACAUCAAGCUGUCUUUUCUAACAGAACAUUAAAUUUAGCAUUAGCUCCCAGUUCCAGAAAGUUCUAGCCAGACAUUCAGGGGGAAAGAAUCAGAACAAAAUGUAAAAUAAAAAAAGUAGUGAAAGAUGAAAGUGAAGGAAUAAACGAGAGGUUUGUGUCUUAGUUGUUGAGUAAUUAAAAACUAAAAAAAAAGCUGUGAGAUUCAGCGUUUGUCACAACGAUGCCAAACGCUCUGCGUCUCCCGACUAUUUCUUUGGGAUUGUUCCCAAACUGAGAAAUCAAGGUUCUUCAGUCAUGCUUCCCCCACAAUCAAGCUUUGGAGUUGACUCCAUAUUCACAACGACUAUAGAGUCGACUCCAAAGCUUGAUUCCUUUGAAUCGACUCUAUUCCCAUUACCUGGUAUCUACGAAUUGACACCAGGUAUUAGGAAUCGCCCUGUUAAUCAUGAUAAUGAUCCUAUGUACUUAACACUGUGGGUUGUUCCCCUAACCUUUAAUUCGAGAUUUGUGCUGAAUCGAUUCUUGGAACAGACUCACUUAGUGUUGCAAUCGAUUUCAGAAUAUUAGCAAGGGUUUGAAUCGUUAUCAUUUCCCUUGCUUCCAUUUGUAGGAAGCUGCCUUAAUCACGAUGAACCCAGGGUACGCAGGCAGGACCGAGCUCCGGGACAACCUGGAGGCCGCUUCAGAUCCGUCUCCAUGAUUGUGCCCGACCACGCCGUCAUCGCAGAGGUGUGCUCGGGUGCCGUCAUUCAUUACAUUAUGUAAUGAACGCAAUAACGGAUGUAUUCUGGCGUGUUACAGAACCGUUUCACGUUGUCUUUUUUGCUGUAGGUGGACUUGUGAGCUGAGGGCUUCAAGUCCAGUGAGACUCUGGCGAAGAGGUCUCUGAUGCGAGAGAACCCACACCUGAGUGAGAACAUGGUGUUGAUUAGAGUGCUACGAUACUCCAACCUGCCCAAGUUACUCAAGGAUGACGCAGAACUUAAAAUAAAAUAAAUUGAUAAAUAGUAAAGAACGCCAAAGCUUACAUAUGGAGUAUCAAAGGUCAUUAUCACAGGAUCACUGGAAUCAGGCACUAGGAGGAAAUUCCAGGACAAAUUAGGAAAUACAAUUAACUGACAUUUGCAAAUUCUUUGCAACUAAAAAGCUGUAAUUAUAUAACUUUUUUUUUAAAGCAUUUAAAGUAUAUAACAUUAGCACCUUGUAAUGUUAUACCAGAUGAAAGUAAAGAAUCCUGGAACAUCUGAACAUCCAUAAUCUGAAAAUCUUGAACCUAGUGUCAAUCGAGUCAAUCCAAUCCUUCUUGUGUGCGUUUAGCGGUAUUCCGUCGGACCUCUUUCCUGGUGUGGGUGUCCCCGAGCAUGACUACGGCGCGCUUCAGUCGAACAUCGAGGCAGCUCUAUGCGCCCGCUCCCUGCAGCCCGUCUCCAGCAUGACCGCCAAGGUGAUCCAGCUGUACGAGACCAUGCUGGUGCACCAGGGCGUCUUGCUGGUGGGCCCUACAAGAGGCGGUAAGACCACAGCGUACCGUACCCUCGCUGACGCACUGCGCACCCUCCACGAGACAGAGGGCUGCGAGGUGAAUCUCUUAUACAAGCCCAUCGAGACCGACGUGCUCAACCCGCAGUCAGUGAGCAUGGACGAGCUGUAUGGUGAAGACGACCCUCUCACACUGGAGUGGAGUGCCAUCAAACCGUCCCUCGGCAAUGACAUCGCUGACACGCACAAGUGGGUGGUGAGUGAUGUACCUGUGGACGUGCCUGUGGAUUGAGAAAAUUACCCCCGUGUUGGACAUCAACAAGACGCUCUGUCUGGCUAACGGUGAAAGGAUCAAGCUCACACCUUCUACACACAUGUUAUUCGAGGUGUUACCCAUCAGACACAGGUAGCAUCGAUCCUAAAAACCAUCACAAACAAGCACAAGCAUGUCAUUUCCAAGAAGAUUUUUUUUUUUUUUUUACGUUAAACGCGUUCCUGAUGGAAAGGUCACACACAAACGUAUCUUUAAGACUUCACUCUUUCACACGCCUAUAAUGAGCGAUAAACGCAUUCGAAGCAUGUUAUAAAGCCUCCGUAAUGCAUUACGCAUAGUAUUUAAAUAAAUGUUAUUAUAAUAACAUGCACUACACUACAUUAUGAAUUCUUAACGUAUUGUUAACAUGUCUUUACUGUGAGCGGGAUGAUGACCAGACGCAGGCAGGCUCCCGGGUACUCAUAUCCGUAGAUGUACUGAUACAGAGCCAUUCUGGCCACGCACUUAUCCAGAUCCACGUCCCAGUAUUAGCACAGCUGCUUCUGCCACUCAAAGUUACUGCUCGAGUCCACCUACGUGAACACAUACACAAAGACAUGUGAUAUAUACACAAUCUCAUUGUAUACGAAUUGGGCAUUCUCCCUGAGGAUAUAGCGUGGAUAGUUUAUAAUGAGUGCGUUCAUACUGUAUAAACCUGGGAACUGAUCUGCAUAUGCACUGCUGUUAGAGCUGCAGUUAUUUUUAAAAGAUUUAUUAACAGCUUCUGACCAAUCAGAUCUGACGACACCCAUGAUUCCCUUCGCUCUGAAGAGAAGGUUGUAGCCGUCUGUACCCUUUCAUUGACGAGCUCCGUGAUGAUGUCUCUGGCGUGGACAUCCACAGUAAUGAGAGCUGUGAUGAUGCUCUGAUGUAUUUUGGGUAAGUUACCCAAGAGUAGCCAACACAUUCAGCCUCUGUAUAAACACACACACACACACACACAGACAGAGUAAUACCCGUACAUUACCACAUAUUACACCAUUCACCAUUAUGUCAUGUAAUCAGAGAAGGAAAUCUGAACUACAGUUCCCAGCAGCCACUGCAUCACAGUCACAUGACCACCUGCACCUGGAUCACAUUCCUGGUAAGCACUUGUGUAUUUAGCCAGUUUUCACUGCACUCUUUGUCUCACGUUUGUCUUUCUUUACCUUUGUCCCUGGUGCUGUGUUUUUCUCUUUGGUUUAUGUUUAGUCUUUGCCACAGUGAUUUGCCCCAAUGUCAGUGUCUUUUGUAUUUUGUUUAGUUCUUUAUUAAACUUGAAAAAUCUGCACUUG